CGAAUGGGGAGAUUCAUCGUCAGCUCAUUUUAUAUAUAUGCAUGUUAUGAUAUGGGUUACUACUUUAUUGUAGUAUUGCUUGUACAUUCUUGUAUAUUUAUUUGUAAAAUGUUGUCGGCGUGCACUUCUCCCCUAGUAGGACGUCGCGACCCGUUGAGUGUCUGUCUACGGCCCAAGGUGGAAGCUUUUAAUAAAUUAUUUUAAUUUAUUUGAAACCCUUGGAGUUACCUGACUGGCACUCGUCGGUAAUCGUAUGGUAUUGAGCCGCAUAUUUAUAUGCGUUCUUAUCCAUCGCAAGCGAGGUUAUAUACUGAUAGUGCGGACUUGGUGCCGUCGUUGGUACUAACCAGCUGUUGGUUGUAUGGAAUUCUAGAACUGGCUCUUAUAAUUUAUUAUAAUACCGGUCAGCGAUGCUACUGCUUUGGGUACUUUCAGGACCCGUCUUGAAACACGGACCAAGGAGUCUAACAUGUACGCAAGUCAUUGGGAUAAUUAUUAAAUUAAACCUAAAGGCGUAAUGAAAGUAAAGGUCGUCCUUGUGUCGACUAAAGGAGGAUGAGCUAUAAUAUGUAUAUAGCUUCGCACUCCUGGGGCGUCUCAUUCUCAUUGCGAGAAGAGGCGCACCUAGAGCGUACACGUUGG
This 642-nucleotide ribosomal RNA is filed under the name Braconinae sp. Its description in RNAcentral is "partial 28S ribosomal RNA". It matches the Rfam family "Eukaryotic large subunit ribosomal RNA", at positions 485 to 812 of the family's 3401-position model. The record is from RNAcentral. Lineage: Eukaryota; Metazoa; Arthropoda; Insecta; Hymenoptera; Braconidae.